Molecule: long non-coding RNA, 307 nt
Organism: Macrobrachium nipponense
Lineage: Eukaryota; Metazoa; Arthropoda; Malacostraca; Decapoda; Palaemonidae
Exons: 3
Source: RefSeq, a predicted model, not a curated record
ACGCCUGACCGCAAGGAGUCAACGGUACGGUGAUGAUUGGUGAAUGGUGGGACGCCGGCAAUCCGCAGUCUGCGAGUUGCUUCCGUGGCUGUAGGACGUGUCUGAUUUCUUCCCGAGAUUUUGAGGGAAUAAAACAAUGAAGGUGUCCACAGCAAUGACGUGGGCGGCUGGAUGCCUCUUCUUGCUGAGUGCAGAUGGGCGGAAGAAUCUUUCGCCAGGAACCGAACAUUCUCAGCUGCAAGAUUUCGAUUCAUCCUUCUGGGAAGCUAGGGAUCGUAGGGAUGACGUCACGAGGCUGUCGGUGGAA